RNAcentral lists this ribosomal RNA (270 nucleotides) under uncultured archaeon. RNAcentral describes it as "partial 16S ribosomal RNA". It matches the Rfam family "Archaeal small subunit ribosomal RNA", at positions 477 to 747 of the family's 1478-position model. The record is from RNAcentral.
CAGCACCUCAAGUGGUCAGGAUGAUUAUUGGGCCUAAAGCAUCCGUAGCCGGCUCUGUAAGUUUUCGGUUAAAUCUGUACGCUCAACGUACAGGCUGCCGGGAAUACUGCAGAGCCAGGGAGUGGGAGAGGUAGACGGUACUCGGUAGGAAGGGGUAAAAUCCUUUGAUCUAUUGAUGACCACCUGUGGCGAAGGCGGUCUACCAGAACACGUCCGACGGUGAGGGAUGAAAGCUGGGGGAGCAAACCGGAUUAGAUACCCGAGUAGUCC